RNAcentral lists this long non-coding RNA (1036 nucleotides) under Ananas comosus (pineapple). RNAcentral's name for it is "long non-coding RNA (ACOM_LNC005595)". Lineage: Eukaryota; Viridiplantae; Streptophyta; Magnoliopsida; Poales; Bromeliaceae. The record is from RNAcentral.
AUGAUUUAGAAACUAGAGAGUAUUAAAUUGAUGUAUUUUAUAAAGAGAAAUGCCUUGGGAACCCCACUUUGGGGCAUGGAUUACUGAGAAGAGAUGAGCUGUGAUGGUCCUGGAACGCAUGAUGAUCGAGUCAAUAGAUUUUUAGACCUGUAUUAGAUCUUACCUGAAACCCUAGUUAAUUAUUGAAAAUCCAAAUUAAACGGUUCGUUUACGAAUUUUUUCCAAAGAAAGAGAAUUAUUCGCAAAUUUUUGGGCCAACCGAAUUAUUCGCGAAUUAUUCACGAAUUAUUGAAAAUAUAAAUAAAAACUUAUAAUUUUUAUUUUUAAAUAUAAAUUAUCUUAUAUUUUAUAUCUUAUAUUUUAUACUUUAUACCGAAUUCGUUUCUUUAAGCCGAAUUUUUCAACGAAUUUAAAAAUUGGAAAACAAAUUUUAUGCGUAUUAUAUCCGUACCGAAUUUUUGCCGAAUCCGAAUUAACCAACUAUGCCUGAAACACGGCACCUGUCCUCCCGAGGAGAUCGAAGGUCCAUUUCAAAUUAAUGUAGGGCUGUCAAUGAGCUAAACACGAGCAAACUGAGCCCGACUGGCAUUCACUCGUUAAUUUAUAAAACGAGCCGAACAUGAACUGGCUCAUGAAAAAUUCAGCUGAAAAAUCAAGCCGAAUACGAGUUGUCUCGCGAAUUGCAAGUUAGAUUUUCAGCUCUACUAUUGGGUGAAAAGUUUAAAGAAUUUAAUCUAAUAAUUAAAAUUCACAAAUAUAUAUCUCAUUACAUUUAUGUUGGCCUAAAAUCUAAAUAGUAGAAAUUUUUAUUAUGUAUAUUCCAGCUAUAUCUAGCUGAGCAUGAGCAAGCUAACCUUAAUUCGUGCUCGACUUGUUAUGAUUUCGAGCUGAAAAAUUUAGCUCGGGUUUAGCUCGUUUACUAAAUGAGCGAUCGAUCUAGAACUUAAUUAUUUCAAGCCGAACGCAAGCUAGCUGGCGAACAAUGAGCUGAAUUUUCAGCCCUAAUUAAUUAUAGGAUAGUGAAAUAAAUUUUUUU